RNAcentral lists this unclassified non-coding RNA (251 nucleotides) under Hevea brasiliensis (rubber tree). The record is from RNAcentral. Lineage: Eukaryota; Viridiplantae; Streptophyta; Magnoliopsida; Malpighiales; Euphorbiaceae.
GCAAAGUAAAAUAUCUAUGGAAGGGAAUCAGGUUUCUUGUAGAGCUGAAAAUACUUAACCUUAGUCAUUCCCAUGGCCUUGUUAGAACCCCUGACUUCAGAGGGCUCCCUAGUCUUGAGAAAUUGGCGCUCAAAGAUUGUACAAGCUUGGUUGAUAUUGAUGAAUCCAUUGGAGGCCUAGAGAGGCUUGUAAUAUUGAAUUUAAGAGACUGCAAAAGCCUCAAGAAGCUUCCAGAAGAAAUUACUAUGCUG